GAGGAAAGAAGAGAGAACCAAAGUCUCACAUCCAUGCUCGAACUGCGAUUUCUCCAGCUCAGAGACAGAGAUCGAUAAGCUACACAAAUUUUUGGUUUCGAACAUCUUUUGGAACUCGCAUAGGGAGAGGAGAGAUUGAGAAACAGGAGCCCUAAGCCCCCUUGUGAAAUCUCCUCUGCAGAGCAGGUAUUGGGACAAAUUUUAGGGUUUUUCUGGACCAUCUAUCGUAUAGCUCAUACAGAGAGGUAACGUCAUCUUCUUCUCUUCUAUUUCUUCUUCUUCUCUUCUCGAUCUUGUAUAGCAUAAUUUCCUUAUCAUAUAAAUCCUUCAUGGGAUUCGAAUCAAUUAUUUCAGAAGACAGUGGACAUCAUGACAUCAGUCCCUCUUAUAUGACUCUGCUUCCACGCACAGCGUGAUUGGAUUCCUCCCCUCACCAACUGUUCUCAAACC
This is a long non-coding RNA of Macadamia integrifolia, 450 nucleotides long. RefSeq lists it as uncharacterized. The record is from RefSeq and is a predicted model, not a curated record. The transcript has 3 exons. Lineage: Eukaryota; Viridiplantae; Streptophyta; Magnoliopsida; Proteales; Proteaceae.